CACUCAUUGACUUACUAGUUAUAUACCGGAUAUACAUAGAUUACGUUCGUUGAAAUCUAAAUGGUUCCUACGUACACGGGUAUAGCGAACGAGUUGGGAAAGAAGUGCAAAAGAUACAAGAGGGACACCCAAACUCACAGAGUCAAAAAUAAACUGACAACGCUAUUGCCAAAAUAAAAUGACGAACAGACAAGUACACAAGACACAACAUACCCACCAUAAGAAGGACCAAAAGGAGAGGUCCAAACAAAGAACAUUUACAAUGUCUACAAUAGGAAAC
RNAcentral lists this long non-coding RNA (280 nucleotides) under Mytilus galloprovincialis (Mediterranean mussel). The record is from RNAcentral. Lineage: Eukaryota; Metazoa; Mollusca; Bivalvia; Mytilida; Mytilidae.